Molecule: long non-coding RNA, 138 nt
Organism: Dermochelys coriacea (leatherback sea turtle)
Lineage: Eukaryota; Metazoa; Chordata; Testudines; Dermochelyidae
Exons: 3
Source: RefSeq, a predicted model, not a curated record
CUGGGAGAUCACAUCAGGUUUGGAAACUAGAAACCCUGCUCAGAUGAAAGAAAACAAAUGAGAUCAGAAUUCUGGUGAACACCCACAGACCACUUCCUCAGAGACAGCAAGGCUAUCACCUGGUUAAAUGGCCAUUCU